This 479-nucleotide ribosomal RNA is filed under the name Pseudoalteromonas luteoviolacea. RNAcentral's name for it is "bacterial SSU rRNA". It matches the Rfam family "Bacterial small subunit ribosomal RNA", at positions 56 to 534 of the family's 1533-position model. The record is from RNAcentral. Lineage: Bacteria; Pseudomonadati; Pseudomonadota; Gammaproteobacteria; Alteromonadales; Pseudoalteromonadaceae.
UGCAGUCGAGCGGAACGAGAAUAGCUUGCUAUUCGGCGUCGAGCGGCGGACGGGUGAGUAAUGCUUGGGAACGUGCCGUAAGGUGGGGGACAACCAUUGGAAACGAUGGCUAAUACCGCAUAAUGUCUACGGACCAAAGGGGGCUUCGGCUCUCGCCUUAUGAUCGGCCCAAGUGGGAUUAGCUAGUUGGUAAGGUAAUGGCUUACCAAGGCAACGAUCCCUAGCUGGUUUGAGAGGAUGAUCAGCCACACUGGAACUGAGACACGGUCCAGACUCCUACGGGAGGCAGCAGUGGGGAAUAUUGCACAAUGGGCGCAAGCCUGAUGCAGCCAUGCCGCGUGUGUGAAGAAGGCCUUAGGGUUGUAAAGCACUUUCAGUAAGGAGGAAAGGUUAGUAGUUAAUACCUGCUAGCUGUGACGUUACUUACAGAAGAAGCACCGGCUAACUCCGUGCCAGCAGCCGCGGUAAUACGGAGGGUG